AGGAGACUUAAAACUCUAUAAAUAGCCUCAUCUAUGUAAUUUCAGUUUUGGAGAUUAGAUUAAUAUAAUUCUAAAGAGAUUUUCCUCUCUAAUUUUCACUCUUGUGUGGGUGUGUGUUAUCUUUAAUUUUCACACUGCAUCAAAAUAUCUUUUGUUGGCAAUCGUUUUUCAACCAAGGGUAAAGAAAAUGGCAUCGCCAACAAUAAGGGGAGGUGUGAUGGUUGGCUGGAGAUGAUUUUCCACUCUCUCCUUGCAGCUACAGAACCCAGGUUCCACCCAAAAACUCUGCCUUUUUCAAACCCUAGAAUUUCCCACUUUUUUCAUAUUUUGGUUCAAUAAGAGAGAGAAACACUGGAAAUUAGUUUAGCAGCUCCCAAUACAAGAAUUUUACAUUAAAAUAAUAUGUAAAUACCACAUCAGCUCUCCAUUGCUCUUACAACUGGAAUUCUGUCAAUAUUGCUUUAUUAGAACACAAAUUAAAGUUUAGUGAUAAAAUUGCAAUAAAUUGAUCUUUUGUGACCAUAAUAAAAUUCAGGGGCUAGUUUCGUGACCAUUUGUACAAUUUACCCCCAGUUUUCAAGAUAACCAAAAAAAUUUAUGGUCAAGAAAUCGAGAUAAUGAUGAAUAAAUGUACUCAGAUGGUGAUUACACAACAAGAAGAAGUCAAUAACUAAGUCUUAAUCUCAAACUAG
Molecule: unclassified non-coding RNA, 692 nt
Filed under: Hevea brasiliensis (rubber tree)
Lineage: Eukaryota; Viridiplantae; Streptophyta; Magnoliopsida; Malpighiales; Euphorbiaceae
Source: RNAcentral